GUAUAAGCAAUCAUACUGUGAAACUGCGAAUGGCUCAUUAAAUCAGUUAUCGUUUAUUUGAUAGUACCUUUACCUGGAUAACCGUGGUAAUUCUAGAGCUAAUACAUGCUAAAAAUCCCGACUUCGGAAGGGAUGUAUUUAUUAGAUAAAAAACCAAUGCCCUUCGGGGCUCCUUGGUGAUUCAUAAUAACUUAACGAAUCGCAUGGCCUUGCGCCGGCGAUGGUUCAUUCAAAUUUCUGCCCUAUCAACUUUCGAUGGUAGGAUAGUGGCCUACCAUGGUCUCAACGGGUAACGGGGAAUUAGGGUUCUAUUCCGGAGAGGGAGCCUGAGAAACGGCUACCACAUCCAAGGAAGGCAGCAGGCGCGCAAAUUACCCAAUCCCAAUUCGGGGAGGUAGUGACAAUAAAUACUGAUACAGGGCUCUUUUGGGUCUUGUAAUUGGAAUGAGUACAAUCUAAAUCCCUUAACGAGGAACAAUUGGAGGGCAAGUCUGGUGCCAGCAGCCGCGGUA
RNAcentral lists this ribosomal RNA (512 nucleotides) under Knufia sp. 190029-F8. RNAcentral's name for it is "SSU rRNA". It matches the Rfam family "Eukaryotic small subunit ribosomal RNA", at positions 63 to 581 of the family's 1831-position model. Lineage: Eukaryota; Fungi; Ascomycota; Eurotiomycetes; Chaetothyriales; Trichomeriaceae. The record is from RNAcentral.